GACGAACGCUGGCGGCGCGCUUAGCACAUGCCAGUCGAACGGAAAGGCCCUGCUUUUGUGGGGUGCUCGAGUGGCGAACGGGUGAGUAACACGUGAGUAACCUGCCCUUGACUUUGGGAUAACUUCAGGAAACUGGGGCUAAUACCGGAUAGGAGCUCCUGCUGCAUGGUGGGGGUUGGAAAGUUUCGGCGGUUGGGGAUGGACUCGCGGCUUAUCAGCUUGUUGGUGGGGUAGUGGCUUACCAAGGCUUUGACGGGUAGCCGGCCUGAGAGGGUGACCGGCCACAUUGGGACUGAGAUACGGCCCAGACUCCUACGGGAGGCAGCAGUGGGGAAUAUUGCACAAUGGGCGGAAGCCUGAUGCAGCAACGCCGCGUGCGGGAUGACGGCCUUCGGGUUGUAAACCGCUUUCGCCUGUGACGAAGCGUGAGUGACGGUAAUGGGUAAAGAAGCACCGGCUAACUACGUG
Molecule: ribosomal RNA, 468 nt
Filed under: uncultured bacterium
Lineage: Bacteria
Description: partial 16S ribosomal RNA
Rfam family: Bacterial small subunit ribosomal RNA
Source: RNAcentral